GACGAACGCUGGCGGCGUGCUUAACACAUGCAAGUCGAACGGAAAGGCCCUGCUUUUGUGGGGUGCUCGAGUGGCGAACGGGUGAGUAACACGUGAGUAACCUGCCCUUGACUUUGGGAUAACUUCAGGAAACUGGGGCUAAUACCGGAUAGGAGCUCCUGCUGCAUGGUGGGGGUUGGAAAGUUUCGGCGGUUGGGGAUGGACUCGCGGCUUAUCAGCUUGUUGGUGGGGUAGUGGCUUACCAAGGCUUUGACGGGUAGCCGGCCUGAGAGGGUGACCGGCCACAUGGGGCCGGGGGUCCGGCCCGGACCCCUCCGGAGGGAAGCGGUGGGGAUAAUUGAACAAGGGGCGGAGGCCGGAGGCAGAAACGCCGCGUGCGGGAGGACGGCCUUCGGGUGGUAAACCGCUUUGGCCUGUGACGAGGCGUGAGUGACGGUAAUGGGAAAAGAAGCACCGGCUAACUACGU
Molecule: ribosomal RNA, 467 nt
Filed under: uncultured bacterium
Lineage: Bacteria
Description: partial 16S ribosomal RNA
Rfam family: Bacterial small subunit ribosomal RNA
Source: RNAcentral